This is a long non-coding RNA of Oncorhynchus keta (chum salmon), 322 nucleotides long. RefSeq lists it as uncharacterized. The record is from RefSeq and is a predicted model, not a curated record. Lineage: Eukaryota; Metazoa; Chordata; Actinopteri; Salmoniformes; Salmonidae. The transcript has 3 exons.
GUUUUUGUGUCCUACCAAACACACAUCAGUUUUCUCACAUGACAAUCUAUGUGUGGAGUUCACUUCACUGACGGAAGAAAGUGGAAAAUAUGUAUUUUUCUUUUAUUCUUCUCAUUUAUGCUGCCGGUGUUGCGGUUAAAGAAAGUUGUGCAGAUUUGGUUCCCACUCCCACUAUUUUAUUGUCCCCUGGGUACAUCAAUGUAGCUACACCUGUUACAGUACGCUGUGAGUCACCAAAAGGCACAGAGUGCAAAUUCUACAAAGAUCACGACCCCAACCCUAUAAGGAAACUGGAAUACAAGCAGGGUGCUUGCCAGUUCAA